Molecule: unclassified non-coding RNA, 340 nt
Filed under: soil metagenome
Description: partial contains 5.8S ribosomal RNA, internal transcribed spacer 2, and large subunit ribosomal RNA
Rfam family: 5.8S ribosomal RNA (bases 1-121)
Source: RNAcentral
GAUGAAGGAACGUAGCGAAAUGCGAUAACUAAUGUGAAUUGCAGAAUUCAGUGAAUCAUCGAGUCUUUGAACGCACAUUGCGCCCCCUGGUAUUCCGGGGGGCAUGCCUGUCCGAGCGUCAUUGCUGCCCUCAAGCACGGCUUGUGUGUUGGGCUCCGUCCCCCCGGGGACGGGCCCGAAAGGCAGCGGCGGCACCGAGUCCGGUCCUCGAGCGUAUGGGGCUUUGUCACCCGCUCUGUAGGCCCGGCCGGCGCCAGCCGACAACCCAUCAUCCUUUUCAGGUUGACCUCGGAUCAGGUAGGGAUACCCGCUGAACUUAAGCAUAUCAAUAAGCGGAGGA